Molecule: ribosomal RNA, 419 nt
Filed under: Aoraki denticulata
Lineage: Eukaryota; Metazoa; Arthropoda; Arachnida; Opiliones; Pettalidae
Description: partial 16S ribosomal RNA
Rfam family: Bacterial large subunit ribosomal RNA (bases 279-419)
Source: RNAcentral
UAAAUUGUUCAUUAAUUGUGAACUGGAAUGAAGGAAAAAAUGGUUUAAAUCUGUCUUAAAUACUAUAUGUUAAAUUUAAAUUUUUUGUAAAAAUACAAAAAUUUCUCUUAGGGACAAGAAGACCCUAUAAAGCUUAACUGAUAUUAUAACAUAAUUAGUUAUUAAAAUCAAUUUGAUUGGGGCAAUAAUUUAUAAACAAAUAAUAUAAAUUUAAUUUAAAUAAUUAUAUAUUAAUAUAAUGAUCCAUUAAUAAUGAAAAAUGAUUAAGUUUCUUUAGGGAUAACAGGAUAAUUUUUAUUAGAAAGUUCUUAUUAAUAAUAAAGUUUAUUACCUCGAUGUUGAAUUAAUUUAAUUAAAUGGUGAAGUAGCCAUUUUUAAUUUGACUGUUCGUCAAUUAAAUAAUUACAUGAUCUGAGUUC